RNA transcript from Dendroctonus ponderosae (mountain pine beetle), 1171 nucleotides. It is a transcript of the gene named electron transfer flavoprotein regulatory factor 1, with no coding region annotated. The transcript is spliced from 3 exons. Lineage: Eukaryota; Metazoa; Arthropoda; Insecta; Coleoptera; Curculionidae. The record is from RefSeq and is a predicted model, not a curated record.
AGUGCGAACCAUAGAGAGAGACAAGGGAGAGUGAGAUAAGAGAGCCAUGUUAACAAUAGUGACAAGCCCUCGACAGGAGCCGCGCGAACUAACCGAGCGAGGACUUCGCACGGGCCGUUCAAAUAAAUACACGUUUUUAUUUUUUUGUUAUAAAUACGUAAAAACUAAACAACAAAAAGCUAAUUUAUUAAAUAUGAAGUAGACAAACUCACAUGAACGGAACUUUUUUUAAAUUUCAUACGCUAUUUUCCUUGUUUCUGAUGAUAGCGCCCUUUGUUAUCCUAUGGAAAGAAAUUAAUUUCAAUGAUGGAAAAAGUGAAUUGUUACAUUAAAAAAACACUAUCGAAACUUAAAUUAAAUACGGCUUUCUGUAUAUUUAAGAGUGGAUAGUUUUUGGUAAAUACGCGCAAAAAAGCGCCUCAGGUUUUAGCGCUCUUAACCUCAAUGAUUGUUGCGCGUAAAAGUUAGUGAUUUUGUGCCAAAAAUGGGGCUCUAAACUAAAAACCAGCCUACAUAAAUGCUGAUUUCUAUCAUUGAAACACCAGCUCAUACUGGCUGCCUUAGUUGUAAAAUUGAAUUUUUCCUGUGCGUAGGGGGCAAAGUUUAAAGUUCGCCGUAGUUGCUGAUACCAAACAGCCUUCUAGUGAAUUAAGUAAAUAAAGUGCUGUAAAUUCUGAAAAAAAUCCCAAAUUUCUCUCGGCGAUAAUUCCUCGACAUUCGUUUGCAGAAAUCAUGUCUUCAGCGCAGAGAAGUCGCGUGAUCAAUUUAUACAAAACACUGUUGCAUCUGGGUAAAGAUUGGCCAGCCGGCUAUGAAUUGUUCCGGUCGCGAUUGCAUGGGGCCUUUUUGAAAAACCGCGCCGAAACCGAUGGGGAAAAGGUGGAAAAGAUGAUCAAGCACGGGGAGUUUGUGACCAAAGAGGUGGAGGCACUGUACAUGCUGAAAAAAUACCGCACCAUGAAGCGCCGCUAUUACAACGACAAUUCCUAGCGUGAUUUGGGAAAAAAUACAGCCUUCGUCAACAGGAAAGGUGAUAUGGUUUAUUACGCCUAAUAGCUUAACAAGAGCGACAGAUUGCCACAGUUUAUUUUAAAUUUUACAUUUUAUAUUAUCUUUUUAUUGUUCAUUUUAAAACAACUCAGAUCGUUAACUGAAUAAACACUAUACAACA